Molecule: ribosomal RNA, 93 nt
Filed under: Dialister invisus
Lineage: Bacteria; Bacillati; Bacillota; Negativicutes; Veillonellales; Veillonellaceae
Source: RNAcentral
UGUGGUGACGAUGGCAAGAAGGAUACACCUGUUCCCAUCUCGAACACAGAAGUUAAGCUUCUUAGCGCCGAUAGUAGUUGGGGGUUUCUCCCU